GACGAACGCUGGCGGUGUGCUUAACACAUGCAAGUCGAACGGUAAGGCCCUUUCGGGGGUCCACGAGUGGCGAACGGGCGAGUAACACGUGAGUAACCUGCCCUCAUCUCUGGGAUAACAGUCGGAAACGGUUGCUAAUACUGGAUAUGAGCUUGCAAGGCAUCUUGUGGGUUGGAAAGAUUUUUUUGGUUGGGGAUGGACUCGCGGCCUAUCAGCUUGUUGGUGAGGUAGUGGCUCACCAAGGCUUCGACGGGUAGCCGGCCUGAGAGGGCGACCGGCCACAUUGGGACUGAGAUACGGCCCAAACUCCUACGGGAGGCAGCAGUGGGGAAUAUUGCACAAUGGACGGAAGUCUGAUGCAGCAACGCCGCGUGCGGGAUGACGGCCUUCGGGUUGGAAACCGCUUUCAAUUGUGACGAAGCUUUUUGUGACGGUAGCAGUAGAAGAAGCACCGGCUAACUACGUG
Molecule: ribosomal RNA, 466 nt
Filed under: uncultured bacterium
Lineage: Bacteria
Description: partial 16S ribosomal RNA
Rfam family: Bacterial small subunit ribosomal RNA
Source: RNAcentral